Molecule: ribosomal RNA, 468 nt
Filed under: uncultured bacterium
Lineage: Bacteria
Description: partial 16S ribosomal RNA
Rfam family: Bacterial small subunit ribosomal RNA
Source: RNAcentral
GACGAACGCUGGCGGCGUGCUUAACACAUGCAAGUCGAACGGAAAGGCCCUGCUUUUGUGGUGUGCUCGAGUGGCGAACGGGUGAGUAACACGUGAGUAACCUGCCCUUGACUUUGGUAUAACUUCAGGAAACUGGGGCUAAUACCGGAUAGGAGCUCCUGCUGCAUGGUGGGGGUUGGAAAGUUUCGGCGGUUGGGGAUGGACUCGCGGCUUAUCAGCUUGUUGGUGGGGUAGUGGCUUACCAAGGCUUUGACGGGUAGCCGGCCUGAGAGGGUGACCGGCCACAUUGGGACUGAGAUACGGCCCAGACUCAUACGGGAGGCAGAAGUGGGGAAUAUUGCACAAUGGGCGGAAGCCUGAUGCAGCAACGCCGCGUGCGGGAUGACGGCCUUCGGGUUGAAAACCGCUUUCGCCUGUGACGAAGCGUGAGUGACGGUAAUGGGUAAAGAAGCACCGGCUAACUACGUG